CAGCAGCCGCGGGAAUACGGAGGGUGCAAGCGUUAAUCGGAAUUACUGGGCGUAAAGCGCACGCAGGCGGUCUGACAAGUCAGAUGUGAAAUCCCCGGGCUUAACCUGGGAACUGCAUUUGAAACUGUCAGGCUGGAGUCUUGUAGAGGGGGGUGGAAUUCCAGGUGUAGCGGUGAAAUGCGUAGAGAUCUGGAGGAAUACCGGUGGCGAAGGCGGCCCCCUGGACAAAGACUGACGCUCAGGUGCGAAAGCGUGGGGAGCAAACAGGAUUAGAUACCCGAGUAGUCCCUGUCUCUUAUAA
RNAcentral lists this ribosomal RNA (301 nucleotides) under uncultured bacterium. RNAcentral describes it as "partial 16S ribosomal RNA". It matches the Rfam family "Bacterial small subunit ribosomal RNA", at positions 509 to 809 of the family's 1533-position model. The record is from RNAcentral.